RNAcentral lists this non-coding RNA (29 nucleotides) under Cricetulus griseus (Chinese hamster). Lineage: Eukaryota; Metazoa; Chordata; Mammalia; Rodentia; Cricetidae. The record is from RNAcentral.
AUUGAAAACUGCUGGAGAAAAUUAAAUUG